Long non-coding RNA from Clupea harengus (Atlantic herring), 1227 nucleotides. NCBI's taxonomy places the organism in Eukaryota, Metazoa, Chordata, Actinopteri, Clupeiformes, Clupeidae. The record is from Ensembl.
AGCCUGUCUUGCGGAGAGGUGAGGUUAGCACUCUGGUGGUUGUCGACCAAAACAAUGCCAAUAUGUAAAUGCUAGUCACCCAGUGGCCCUUUUUACAUAGUAUGCGUUUUAUAUGGAGACCUCUGUGUAAUAUCUUUGCAUUGUUCAUUCAAGCAUACAGUUGGACAUACCUUAUCUAUGAGCUGCAUGAGGUUGUAAGAUUUAGACAUUUUAAACUUUUGGUUUUGUUUGGAUUUGUUUGCCCUAACAACUCACUGCCCCCUCCCUUAUUUGUAUUUGUUAUAUAUAUAUAUUAUAUAUAAGGCAGCAGGACAUCCCUUGUUUUCGUUUUCGUUUUGUUUUGUUUUGUUUUCUUUCUUUUGUGCAAAGGUGUGUGUCUCCAGUCAUCUGCAGAAUUCCUCCAAGUCCCCCAUGAUGUUGCCGACAGGAAGUGAUGUCAGUAUUUAGGAGGGAGUGAGCCUAAACUCUGUCCCGUGGCCCUCUGUAGCUGCCGGUGACGAGAGAAUGUGAUUAUGAAUGAAGGUCUGGAAGAUGCUGCUUUUUCUUCCCUCUCCCCUCUUCUCGUCUCCGUGGUCUUCCUCCUCUUUAGUGGUGUCAGGGUCGUGUUUGUUACGCGCUUUCUCUAGGCACUUCUUUGCUGAGGUUGGAGGAGUGUUUCGAUUAUGUGCAUAUCAUCCCAAUUGUAUAGCAUCGGUCAUACCAUGGGAACAUAAGGUUAUUGUCCUUUUUUUUCUUCUUUUUUUUUUUCUUUGGUAGGUGUGUGCGUGUGUGCUGUCGCUUUGCCGACAUCAAGUUUCUGUUCUCCUCAAUGAGGAUUGUUGCUCAUUUGUGAGCCUUCAUUAAAUCGAAGUAUAAGAAAGUGGUUCAGAAAUAUUUAUGGGUUAAUGUAGGUUACCUCUUUAUAACAACUCAUGUUAACUCAGCUUUUUUCAGAAUGAAUUGUACUAAUUUUCAUUGUUUACCAUGCGGUAGUGCUUCAAGACACUACUUAGAGCAAAAUAAAACUCGGUUUACAUUUAAUUUUGUAUUUUUGCAUUUUCGUUUUUAUCUUUAAAUUGUUCAAAUUAAAAUUGCUUUUAUCCAGAGAGGAAAAAAUGUAAUUGCCAACAAUCUAAUUAGGCAAGGAAUGUAUAAAUCAAACACCAAUGGCUAGUGGCAGUCAGUCCCCUUCUCUAAGUGUUACAUUUGUUGUGAGACUUUUUGAACUGAUUAAAGUUGAAAGAAUUU